RNAcentral lists this ribosomal RNA (253 nucleotides) under uncultured bacterium. Its description in RNAcentral is "partial 16S ribosomal RNA". It matches the Rfam family "Bacterial small subunit ribosomal RNA", at positions 524 to 776 of the family's 1533-position model. The record is from RNAcentral.
UACGUAGGGGGCAAGCGUUAUCCGGAAUGAUUGGGCGUAAAGCGUCCGCAGGUGGCAGUUCAAGUCUGCUGUCAAAGACCGGGGCUUAACUUCGGAAAGGCAGUGGAAACUGAGCAGCUAGAGUAUGGUAGGGGCAGAGGGAAUUCCUGGUGUAGCGGUGAAAUGCGUAGAGAUCAGGAAGAACAUCGGUGGCGAAGGCGCUCUGCUGGACCAUAACUGACACUCAGGGACGAAAGCUAGGGGAGCGAAUGGG